RNAcentral lists this ribosomal RNA (231 nucleotides) under uncultured bacterium. RNAcentral describes it as "partial 16S ribosomal RNA". It matches the Rfam family "Bacterial small subunit ribosomal RNA", at positions 15 to 238 of the family's 1533-position model. The record is from RNAcentral.
GAUCCUGGCUCAGGACGAACGCUGGCGGCGUGCCUAAUACAUGCAAGUAGAACGCUGAAGGAGGAGCUUGCUUCUCUGGAUGAGUUGCGAACGGGUGAGUAACGCGUAGGUAACCUGCCUGGUAGCGGGGGAUAACUAUUGGAAACGAUAGCUAAUACCGCAUAAUAGCAGUUGUUGCAUGACAACUGUUUGAAAGGUGCAAAUGCGUCACUACCAGAUGGACCUGCGUUG